UGACUUUAAAAUUGCAGAAAAAGAGUAGAUGAGGAAAGUGCUAUUAUUCGGAGAUACAAUUUCAUGAUGUCAUUCAAGCCUAACAGAGAAUUAUUGAAUCCUAAUUUCAACGGGUACAAGCUAGCUGACCACUCCCUACCGUUGCUAUGGGAAACCUUUACCGGCGGAGUACACAAGAUAAGCAACGCUCAUUCUGACUCAUUCUUCUCAUAUCAACACGUCCGACAAGCAACAAUGAACAAUAGUUUGACCUUUGACCCCUGGAAUGACUCACAUGUGUACUGGACUACUGCUAAUACACACAAUAUAAUGUGUGGAUAUCUAUCAGCAUCAGGUAAUGAAUUAUUACUAUUGCCAGUUCACCAUAGCAAUUAGUCAUCAUCGAACCCUUCUACCACUAACUCAAGUCUCAUCUUUCUCUCUAAAAACCAGGCCCUCUUUUAUGAGCCGUCAUACGAUGACGGUAAUUGCUUAUUAUUCUAUACUGGGGAUUGUACUGAUAUUAAUUUCUGGAGUAUAAUAUCAAGAA
Amphimedon queenslandica is the source of this 529-nucleotide long non-coding RNA. RefSeq lists it as uncharacterized. The transcript is spliced from 3 exons. NCBI's taxonomy places the organism in Eukaryota, Metazoa, Porifera, Demospongiae, Haplosclerida, Niphatidae. The record is from RefSeq and is a predicted model, not a curated record.